GACGAACGCUGGCGGCGUGCUUAACACAUGCAAGUCGAACGGAAAGGCCCUGCUUUUGUGGGGUGCUCGAGUGGCGAACGGGUGAGUAACACGUGAGUAACCUGCCCUUGACUUUGGGAGAACUUCAGGAAACUGGGGCUAAUACCGGAUAGGAGCUCCUGCUGCAUGGUGGGGGUUGGAAAGUUUCGGCGGUUGGGGAUGGACUCGCGGCUUAUGAGCUUGUUGGUGGGGUAGUGGUUUACCAAGGCUUUGACGGGUAGCCGGCAUGAGAGGGUGAACGGCCACCUUGGGCCUGCGAGACGGCCCAGACUCCUACGGGAGGCAGCAGUGGGGAAUAUUGCACAAUGGGCCGAAGCCUGAUGCAGCAACGCUGCGUGCGGGAUGCCGGCCUUCGGGUUGUAAACCGCUUUCGCCUGUGACGAAGCGUGAGUGACGGUAAUGGGUAAAGAAGCACCGGCUAACUACGUG
Molecule: ribosomal RNA, 468 nt
Filed under: uncultured bacterium
Lineage: Bacteria
Description: partial 16S ribosomal RNA
Rfam family: Bacterial small subunit ribosomal RNA
Source: RNAcentral